UAAAAAAAAACUUUUUAAAUGUAGAGGGUAUCAGAAGUUCUGACAUCUUAUUUUUUGCCUGCAAUUUUUUCUUUUGAUUAAAAUGGGCGGGCCCUGCACAACUCUUAAUUGUACAGUCACUGAAUCUGACCUUUGUAACCCAAUCCUUUAUCAAGAUACAGAACAUUUCCAUAAUUCCAAAAAGUUCCCUCAUGCCACUUCUCAACAUCCAUCCCACUCCCAGAGACAACCAUUGUUCUGAUUUUUUUCUAUACCAUAGACUAGUUUUGCCUGUUCUAGAAUAUCAUAUAAAUAGAAUCUUACUGUAUACACGUGUAAAUUUUCUUUCACUCUGGGUAUUCUUGAGAUCCAUUAUGCUGUAUGUGCAUUUGCAGACGUUCCUCUUUAUUGCUGAAUUGUAUUCCAUUAUACAGCUGUACACAGUUUGUUUAUCCAUUUUUCUGUUGAUGGACAUCUGACCUGUUUCCAGUUUUUACUAUUGUCAACAAAGCUGCUAUCAGAAUUCUUGUAUAAGUCCUUUUGUGACUAUGUCUUUAAUCUUAGUGGGUGAAUUCCUAGGAAUAAAAUUAGCAGAGCAGGUGUAUGUUUAGUUUCAUAGGAAACUGCCAAAUGUUUUCCAAAGUGGUUGUACCAUUUUACAUUCCCACUCAGAGUAUGAAAGUUCCAGUUGUUCCACAUACUUGCCAAUAUUUGGUGUCAAUCUUUUUAAUUUUAGCCAUAAUAGUGGGUAUAUAAUAGUAUAAGAUUGUUCUUUUAUUUUGCAUCUAUCUGAUGACUAAAAACAUUGAGCACUUUUUCAUGUGCUUAUCGUUUUUUUCGAUUGUGGUUAAAAAAUACAUAACAUUAAAUUUAGCAUUUUAAACAUCUGUAAGUUCUAUUGCAUUAUGUAUAUUUACAUUGUUGUGCAACCAUCACCACCAUCCAUCCACAGAAACUUUUCAUCUCCCCAAACUGAAAUUCAGUUCCCAUUAAAAGCUAAUUCCCCAUUCCCACCUCCCCCCAAGCCCCUGACAAUCACCCUUCUACUUUUUCACUAUGAAUUUGACUCCUCUGAGUACUUCAUAUAUGUGGAAUCAUACAGUAUUUGUCCUUUUGUGACUGGCUUAUUUCACUUAAUAUAAUGUCUUCAGACUCAUCCAUGUUGUAGCAUGGGUCAGAAUCUCCUUCCUUUUUAAGAGUGAAUAAUAUUCCAUUGUACAUAUACACCAUAUUUUAUCUAUUCCUCCAUUAAUGGACACUUGGGCUGCUUCCACCUUUUCCCUAUUGGGAUAAUCCUGCUAUGAACAUGGGUGUGCAAAUACCUCUCUGAGUCCCUGCUUUUAUUUCUUUGGGUAUAUACUCAGAAGUAGAAUUGCCACAUCAUAUGAUAAUUCUAUUUUUUAGGAAUUGCUAUAACAUUUUUCCAUAGCGGCUAUACCACUUUACAUUCUCACCAGCAAUGCACAAGCGUUCCAGUUUCUCCAUACUCUUGCCAAUACUUGUUAUCUUGUUCUGUUUUUUUGUUUGUUUGUUCUUGACAACAGCCAUUGAUUACAUUGAGUAUGAUUGUAUGCUUAUUUUAUUGGCCAUUUAUAUAUUCUUUUGUGAAGUGUCUGUUCAAAAUAUUUUGCCCAUUUUAUUGCAUUUUUGUCUGUUAUUGAAUUGUAUAGGUUAUUUUCAUACAGUCUGGAUACCAACCCUUUGUCAGAUACAUGUUUUGCAAAUAUUUUCUCUCAGUAUGUGGCCUGAUUAUUCAUUUUAUUAGUGCUGUUCUUUGAUGAGCAACUAUUUUAAACUUGGUGAAGCCCAAUUUGUCAAUUCCUCAGAAUGAGAGGAGAGAAAAAAUAGGAUUGAAGGCAACGUUUGAAGAAACAAGGGCUGAUAAUUUCCCAAACCUGUUGAAAGACAGUAAUCCACAUAUUCAAAAGCUUGUAAAUCCCAAAUGAGAUAAGUAAAAAGAAACCUACAAUUCGGUAUGACAUAGAGAAACUGCAGAAUAUCAAAGACAAAGAGAAAAAAAAAUUUUAAGCUGAAAUGUGGGGAAAUGGAAAUGCAGAUUUCCUCAAAGGAGGACUAGACUGACUGCUGACUUUUCAACAGCAACAAUAGCACUUAGAGGGCAGAGAAAUGCCAUCUUCAAU
This is a non-coding RNA of Kogia breviceps (pygmy sperm whale), 2120 nucleotides long. Lineage: Eukaryota; Metazoa; Chordata; Mammalia; Artiodactyla; Physeteridae. The record is from RefSeq and is a predicted model, not a curated record.